This 281-nucleotide ribosomal RNA is filed under the name uncultured Staphylococcus sp. RNAcentral's name for it is "partial 16S ribosomal RNA". It matches the Rfam family "Bacterial small subunit ribosomal RNA", at positions 81 to 355 of the family's 1533-position model. Lineage: Bacteria; Bacillati; Bacillota; Bacilli; Caryophanales; Staphylococcaceae. The record is from RNAcentral.
CUCCUUUGACGUUAGCGGCGGACGGGUGAGUAACACGUGGGUAACCUACCUAUAAGACUGGGAUAACUUCGGGAAACCGGAGCUAAUACCGGAUAAUAUUUCGAACCGCAUGGUUCGAUAGUGAAAGAUGGUUUUGCUAUCACUUAUAGAUGGACCCGCGCCGUAUUAGCUAGUUGGUAAGGUAACGGCUUACCAAGGCGACGAUACGUAGCCGACCUGAGAGGGUUAUCGGCCACACUGGAACUGAGACACGGUCCAGACUCCUACGGGAGGCAGCAGCC